GGAGACUGUCAUUAGGCUGGAACCAGGUCUUAGUGAGUGACAGAAUAUGGAAAAUGUGAGAACGGAAAAGAUUUAAGAUGAAAUCUAGCUUUUUACACAUGGAGCAAAGAGCACAGAAGGAGUGGGUAGUUUUAAAGAAGGAUGUUGAGGUCGUCAUGAUGGGAAUAUAGAAUCACACAUUGUGAGACUUCAUAGGAACCUCAACAGCUAUAUAGUCCAAUUCACACCCAAACAGAAUCCCUACAACAGCACACCCAGUUCAAGACUUCUCUCAGAAGGAAGAAAGGAGGAAGCCCACACUAAACAGCUCUUUUAUUUCCCACCCAGGUAUAUUCUUCUGGUUUUCUCCAUCAUAUCCCCAUGCCAAGUUCUUUUUUUUUUUCUCUCCAACCCUUCCUUCCAUCAUUUUCCUUUCCUUAUGAGUGUUGUUUUCUAUCAUUAAAUUGGAAGCUCCUUGAGGAUAAAAUCUCUUAUGCCUUUUAUGGUAUCCUUUGUUUAGAAUAGUGCCUGACAUGUAAUUACUUAAUGAAUGCUUAUUGAUUGACUAACUGAUAUUACCUGGGUUCAUAUUUUUCCAACAUCAUCUACUUCCUGUGUGUGUCUUUGAUUAAAUCACUUAAGAUCUCCAGACAUCUAUUUAUUCAUUAAUAAAAUUAAUAAAAGAGGGAAGUUUGACCUGAUGCUCCCUGAUGUCCCUUUCAUCUCUAAAUCUAGAAUCUGUUGAUCUACCAUGAGUCUCAUAAUCCUGUAAGGUCAUUAUUGUAGUAGAUAGUACUCGGUCCAGAGACAGAAAAUCUUGAACUCAAAUUAAAACUUAGACGCUAGCUGGGUUACCCUUAGAGAAAUCAUAAAACCUCUCUCUGUCUGUUUCCUCAACUGUAAAAUUGGGAUUAUCCUAGCACUUGCUUCCCUACAUGGUUGAGAGGAUUAAAUGAGUUGAUAUUAUAAAGUAAUUAGCACCAGGACCUACA
Long non-coding RNA from Monodelphis domestica (gray short-tailed opossum), 971 nucleotides. RefSeq lists it as uncharacterized. The record is from RefSeq and is a predicted model, not a curated record. NCBI's taxonomy places the organism in Eukaryota, Metazoa, Chordata, Mammalia, Didelphimorphia, Didelphidae.